ACAUAUUGUGAGCUCGAUGAGUAGGGCGGGACACGUGGUAUCCUGUCUGAAUAUGGGGGGACCAUCCUCCAAGGCUAAAUACUCCUGACUGACCGAUAGUGAACCAGUACCGUGAGGGAAAGGCGAAAAGAACCCCGGCGAGGGGAGUGAAAAAGAACCUGAAACCGUGUACGUACAAGCAGUGGGAGCACGCUUAGGCGUGUGACUGCGUACCUUUUGUAUAAUGGGUCAGCGACUUAUAUUCUGUAGCAAGGUUAACCGAAUAGGGGAGCCGAAGGGAAACCGAGUCUUAACUGGGCGUUAAGUUGCAGGGUAUAGACCCGAAACCCGGUGAUCUAGCCAUGGGCAGGUUGAAGGUUGGGUAACACUAACUGGAGGACCGAACCGACUAAUGUUGAAAAAUUAGCGGAUGACUUGUGGCUGGGGGUGAAAGGCCAAUCAAACCGGGAGAUAGCUGGUUCUCCCCGAAAGCUAUUUAGGUAGCGCCUCGUGAAUUCAUCUCCGGGGGUAGAGCACUGUUUCGGCAAGGGGGUCAUCCCGACUUACCAACCCGAUGCAAACUGCGAAUACCGGAGAAUGUUAUCACGGGAGACACACGGCGGGUGCUAACGUCCGUCGUGAAGAGGGAAACAACCCAGACCGCCAGCUAAGGUCCCAAAGUCAUGGUUAAGUGGGAAACGAUGUGGGAAGGCCCAGACAGCCAGGAUGUUGGCUUAGAAGCAGCCAUCAUUUAAAGAAAGCGUAAUAGCUCACUGGUCGAGUCGGCCUGCGCGGAAGAUGUAACGGGGCUAAACCAUGCACCGAAGCUGCGGCAGCGA
Molecule: ribosomal RNA, 818 nt
Filed under: Shigella sonnei
Lineage: Bacteria; Pseudomonadati; Pseudomonadota; Gammaproteobacteria; Enterobacterales; Enterobacteriaceae
Description: partial 23S ribosomal RNA
Rfam family: Bacterial large subunit ribosomal RNA
Source: RNAcentral